This 301-nucleotide ribosomal RNA is filed under the name uncultured bacterium. RNAcentral's name for it is "partial 16S ribosomal RNA". It matches the Rfam family "Bacterial small subunit ribosomal RNA", at positions 509 to 807 of the family's 1533-position model. The record is from RNAcentral.
CAGCAGCCACGGUAAUACGGAGGGAGCUAGCGUUGUUCGGAAUUACUGGGCGUAAAGCGCACGUAGGCGGCUUUGUAAGUCAGAGGUGAAAGCCUGGAGCUCAACUCCAGAACUGCCUUUGAGACUGCAUCGCUUGAAUCCAAGAGAGGUGAGUGGAAUUCCGAGUGUAGAGGUGAAAUUCGUAGAUAUUCGGAAGAACACCAGUGGCGAAGGCGGCUCACUGGACUGGUAUUGACGCUGAGGUGCGAAAGCGUGGGGAGCAAACAGGAUUAGAUACCCCGGUAGUCCCUGUCUCUUAUAC